This 1077-nucleotide ribosomal RNA is filed under the name Triticum aestivum (bread wheat). RNAcentral's name for it is "partial small subunit ribosomal RNA". The record is from RNAcentral. Lineage: Eukaryota; Viridiplantae; Streptophyta; Magnoliopsida; Poales; Poaceae.
AUGUCGUGCUCCCACCUCUCCACCGCGUGGUCCUCCUCCGCGCUUGCCAGCACCUCCACACGCCGCCGCGCCUCCACCGGCAGCAGCAGCCUGGUGGUGCGGUGCUCCCUCCGGGACCUCCGCAACCGCAUCGACUCUGUCCGCAACACGCAGAAGAUCACGGAGGCGAUGAAGCUGGUGGCCGCUGCCAAGGUCCGUCGCGCGCAGGAGGCCGUGGUCUCCUCUCGCCCCUUCUCGGAGGCUCUGGUGGAGGUGCUCUACAACAUGAACCAGGAGAUCCAGUCGGAGGACAUCGACCUGCCCCUCACCCGCCAGCGCGCCGUCAAGCGCGUCGCGAUCGUCGUCCUCACCGGCGAGCGUGGUCUCUGCGGCGCCUUCAACAACAACGUGCUCAAGAAGGCCGAGGCUCGCAUGGAGGACCUCAGGCAGCUGGGCGUCGACUACACCGUCAUCAGCGUCGGCAAGAAGGGCAACGCCUACUUCCAGCGCCGCGACUACAUCCCCACCGAGCGCUUCCUCGAGCUCGCCGGGAUCCCCACCGUCAAGGACUCGCAGGCCAUUUGCGACCUCAUCUACUCCCUCUUUGUCGCCGAGGAGGUCGACAAGGUGGAGCUCGUCUACUCCAAGUUCGUCAACCUCGUCCGCUCCGACCCCAUCAUCCAGACGCUGCUGCCCAUGUCCCCUAAGGGCGAGAUCUGCGAUGUCAACGGCAUCUGUGUCGACGCCACCGAGGACGAGCUCUUCAAGCUCACCACCAAGGAAGGCAAGCUCACCGUGGAGCGCGAGAAGAUCAAGAUCGAGAUGCAGCCCUUCUCCCCCGUCGUCCAGUUCGAGCAGGACCCCGUCCAGAUCCUCGACGCUCUCCUCCCGCUCUACCUCAACAGCCAGAUCCUGCGUGCCCUCCAGGAGUCGCUCGCUAGCGAGCUCGCCGCCAGGAUGAGCGCCAUGAGCAGCGCCACAGACAAUGCCAUCGACCUCCGGAAAAAUCUCUCCAUGGUCUACAACCGCCGACGCCAGGCUAAGAUCACCGGAGAGAUCCUUGAGAUCGUCGCUGGCGCCGACGCCCUGUCCGGCUGA